GCACCCUUAGCUCAGUUGGUAGAGCAGUAGACUCUUAAUCUAUUGGUCGGGGGUUCGAGUCCCCCAGGGUGCACAA
RNAcentral lists this transfer RNA (76 nucleotides) under Ignavibacteria bacterium GWA2_35_9. RNAcentral's name for it is "tRNA-Lys". It matches the Rfam family "tRNA". From Rfam's summary of the family: Transfer RNA (tRNA) molecules are approximately 80 nucleotides in length. RNAcentral also lists the same sequence under 1 other name. Lineage: Bacteria; Pseudomonadati; Ignavibacteriota; Ignavibacteria. The record is from RNAcentral.